GCACCCGAGGCUCAACGGUUAGAGCGUUGGAAUUCUGCUCAACAGGUCGCAGGUUUGAGCCCCGGGUGCA
This 70-nucleotide transfer RNA is filed under the name Schistocephalus solidus. It matches the Rfam family "tRNA". From Rfam's summary of the family: Transfer RNA (tRNA) molecules are approximately 80 nucleotides in length. Their secondary structure includes four short double-helical elements and three loops (D, anti-codon, and T loops). The record is from Rfam by way of RNAcentral. Lineage: Eukaryota; Metazoa; Platyhelminthes; Cestoda; Diphyllobothriidea; Diphyllobothriidae.